GGAACUGGAUUCCCAUCCAUAAGGGGGCUUCGAGGUCAGAAGGCCCGUUAUCUUCGAGAUGUUUCCUGGUGGGCAAAUGACAAAGAUGCAGAACUGUUACGUCUUGGCUAUGUCAAGCCUGAAGUAGUUAGUUGGUCGCCUCGAAUUAUUGUGCUUCAUAACUUUCUAAGACCAG
Molecule: long non-coding RNA, 175 nt
Organism: Brassica oleracea var. oleracea
Lineage: Eukaryota; Viridiplantae; Streptophyta; Magnoliopsida; Brassicales; Brassicaceae
Exons: 3
Source: RefSeq, a predicted model, not a curated record